UACGUAGGGUGCAAGCGUUGUCCGGAAUUAUUGGGCGUAAAGGGCUCGUAGGCGGUCCCUCGCGUCGGGAGUGAAAAGCUGGGGCUUAACCCCAGUCCUGCUUCCGAUACGGGUGGACUAGAGGUAGGCAGGGGAGAACGGAAUUCCUGGUGUAGCGGUGAAAUGCGCAGAUAUCAGGAGGAACACCGGUGGCGAAGGCGGUUCUCUGGGCCUUACCUGACGCUGAGGAGCGAAAGCGUGGGGAGCGAACAGG
Molecule: ribosomal RNA, 253 nt
Filed under: uncultured bacterium
Lineage: Bacteria
Description: partial 16S ribosomal RNA
Rfam family: Bacterial small subunit ribosomal RNA
Source: RNAcentral